Molecule: long non-coding RNA, 827 nt
Filed under: Equus asinus (donkey)
Lineage: Eukaryota; Metazoa; Chordata; Mammalia; Perissodactyla; Equidae
Description: lncRNA (ENSEASG00005030800.1)
Source: RNAcentral
CCUAUUUGUUAGAAGCAAGUCAAUAAUCCUAGACCCGACUGAAGGGGAGGACAUUGCAAAAGAGCAGGAAUACCAGGAGAAAAUUGACAAAAGAUUUUCACCACUAUUUUUCAGAGGAAACGAAAUCCUCCAUGGGGCUUGCCUGUGAAAUUGAGCCAUGCAUCAUGACGUACUGUUCCAGCCAGGCCAGUCCCUGCUCAGGCACCACAGAACAGACUCCCACUGCACCUUCAAACUGCAUGACAAAUAAAGAAUCGCCCUGUCAGAAUUCCACCCUGGCUCACCCAAAUUGACAAAAAUUUUCUGAAUUACACUGUUUCAGGGCUCCCGCAUUGACAAGAGGCAGUCAAGCCUGACAGCCCUUUCCCUCUUGUCUGUUAUCUUGAAAUCAAUUGCACAGCCUGAUGCACAGAAUAAUGGCUGUGGACUAUUCUGCAGGACUUGGCCCAUCUGGUCACUAAGGAAGACAGCAUUGCUGGCUUCCUAUCGAUCUGGGAGGAGCAUGCUGCUACACAGAGGUGACCUCCAUCUCUCCACCUGGCCCUGCUAUUGAGGAAAUCAGUUUCACAAGUGAGCUCAUUCAGAAAUGAAAACAACUUUGCACCACAGCGUAUCCAUCUUUGUCUUUAAUUAAGAGCUCUUGCCUCUUUGGGAUUAAAUAGUGAGUUGUAAGCAAAUGAAAGGGCAUGAUUCUCUGCAUCGGGCACCAUAUUUUGUGUUAAGUCCCUUUAGUUAAAGUCUUGAACAGAUCAGACAUUUCAGUAGAGGGAAAUAUUAAUUUGGCUAUUUUAUGAAACUCCCUACACUUCAUCUUUGAAGAAAAUUCU